UCUCCGUUGGUGAACCAGCGGAGGGAUCAUUAACAGAACCUAGAGUCUAACUCUGUUCUUAAACCCCGUGAACCUAAUACCAUACCGACGUUGCCUCGGCGCGCGCGCGCCGGGGGGAAAGGAGCCUCUGCGCUCCCGCCCCCCCGGACUGCCGCCGCCGACGGCGGCCGAACCAAAACGCUCAAGUCAGCUCGGCGCUCGCUCUGAACAAGAAAACUAUAACGAGUAAAAACUUUUGGCAACGGAUCUCUUGGCUCUG
Molecule: unclassified non-coding RNA, 259 nt
Filed under: soil metagenome
Description: partial contains small subunit ribosomal RNA, internal transcribed spacer 1, and 5.8S ribosomal RNA
Source: RNAcentral